GAGCGUUCUGUAAGCCUGUGAAGGUGUGUCGUGAGGCAUGCUGGAGGUAUCAGAAGUGCGAAUGCUGACAUAAGUAACGAUAAAGCGGGUGAAAAGCCCGCUCGCCGGAAGACCAAGGGUUCCUGUCCAACGUUAAUCGGGGCAGGGUGAGUCGACCCCUAAGGCGAGGCCGAAAGGCGUAGUCGAUGGGAAACGGGUUAAUAUUCCCGUACUUGGUGUUACUGCGAAGGGGGGACGGAGAAGGCUAUGUUGGCCGGGCGACGGUUGUCCCGGUUUAAGCGUGUAGGUGUGUGUUCCAGGUAAAUCCGGUU
This 311-nucleotide ribosomal RNA is filed under the name Salmonella enterica subsp. enterica serovar 4,[5],12:i:-. RNAcentral's name for it is "partial 23S ribosomal RNA". It matches the Rfam family "Bacterial large subunit ribosomal RNA", at positions 1234 to 1547 of the family's 2925-position model. Lineage: Bacteria; Pseudomonadati; Pseudomonadota; Gammaproteobacteria; Enterobacterales; Enterobacteriaceae. The record is from RNAcentral.